Molecule: long non-coding RNA, 237 nt
Filed under: Lathyrus oleraceus (garden pea)
Lineage: Eukaryota; Viridiplantae; Streptophyta; Magnoliopsida; Fabales; Fabaceae
Description: Pisum sativum (pea) long non-coding RNA (PSAT_LNC040512)
Source: RNAcentral
UAAAAGUAAAAAUAAUUGAAAGAAAGAGAACACAAAAUUGUUUGCAAAAGCUGUCCUUUAUCGAUGAUGAAAAUAAUUGCGAAAUGUAACUAAAUGGAUGGCCCUACAGAUGAGUCAUAAAGCUGUCCUUUAUCGAUGAUGAAAAUAAUUGCGAAAUGUAACUAAAUGGAUGGCCCUACAGAUGAGUCAUUACACCUUGGUCAAAGUGUAAGACUUUGUUAUGCAUGUGAUAAAAGG